This 650-nucleotide ribosomal RNA is filed under the name Lacticaseibacillus rhamnosus. RNAcentral's name for it is "partial 23S ribosomal RNA". It matches the Rfam family "Bacterial large subunit ribosomal RNA", at positions 1 to 650 of the family's 2925-position model. Lineage: Bacteria; Bacillati; Bacillota; Bacilli; Lactobacillales; Lactobacillaceae. The record is from RNAcentral.
GGUUAAGUUACAAAGGGCGCACGGUGGAUGCCUUGGCACUAGGAGCCGAUGAAGGACGGAACUAAUACCGAUAUGCUUCGGGGAGCUAUAAGUAAGCUUUGAUCCGGAGAUUUCCGAAUGGGGGAACCCAGUACACAUCAGUGUAUUGCCUGCAAGUGAAUACAUAGCUUGUUGGCGGCAGACGCGGGGAACUGAAACAUCUCAGUACCCGCAGGAAGAGAAAGAAAACUCGAUUCCCAUAGUAGCGGCGAGCGAAGUGGGAAGAGCCCAAACCGAGAAGCUUGCUUCUCGGGGUUGUAGGACUGGACAUUGGAGUUACCAAAGUUCGACGUAGUCGAAGUCAGCUGGAAAGCUGCGCCAUAGAAGGUGAAAGCCCUGUAAACGAAACGGCGGACUCUCCGUCCAGGAUCCUGAGUACGGCGGAACACGUGAAAUUCCGUCGGAAUCCGGGAGGACCAUCUCCCAAGGCUAAAUACUCCCUAGUGACCGAUAGUGAACCAGUACCGUGAGGGAAAGGUGAAAAGCACCCCGGAAGGGGAGUGAAACAGUUCCUGAAACCGUGUGCCUACAAUUAGUCAAAGCCCGUUAACGGGUAAUGGCGUGCCUUUUGUAGAAUGAACCGGCGAGUUACGUUUGCCUGCGAGGUUAAG